Molecule: ribosomal RNA, 253 nt
Filed under: uncultured bacterium
Lineage: Bacteria
Description: partial 16S ribosomal RNA
Rfam family: Bacterial small subunit ribosomal RNA
Source: RNAcentral
UACAGAGGGGGCAAGCGUUAUUCGGAAUUAUUGGGCGUAAAGGGCGCGUAGGCGGCCAUUCAAGUGACGGGUGAAAGCCCUCGGCUUAACCGAGGAACUGCCUGUCAGACUGGAUGGCUUGAGACCGGGAGAGGUGAGUGGAAUUCCCAGUGUAGCGGUGAAAUGCGUAGAUAUCUGGAGGAGCACCGGUGGCGAAGGCGAGUCCCUGGACAACUUCUGACACUGAGGCACGAAAGCUAGGGGAGCAAACAGG